This 369-nucleotide ribosomal RNA is filed under the name Prosodes jakowlewi. Its description in RNAcentral is "partial 12S ribosomal RNA". The record is from RNAcentral. Lineage: Eukaryota; Metazoa; Arthropoda; Insecta; Coleoptera; Tenebrionidae.
GAUACCCUAUUAUUUUAGAUGUUAAUAUGUAUCUAAAUUUAUUAUUAGUUAAGUUCUUUAAAAUUAAACAAUUUGGCGGUAUUUUAGUCUAUUCAGAGGAACCUGUUUUUUAAUUGAUAGUCCACGAUAAUUUUUACUUUAGUUUUAAAUUUAUAUAUCGUCGUUAUUAAAAAUUUUGGGAGGAUUUUAAUUUUUAAUAUUUUUUAUUAAGGUUUAAUUCAGAUCAAGGUGUAGUUUAUAUUGAAGUUAAAAUGGGUUACAUUUCAUUUAUGAGUGGUUCUUUUUUUUAAAUUUUUAGAUAAAUUGGAUUUGAUAGUAAAUUCUUUAUUUUGUAGGAUUGAUUUAGCUCUAAAAUAUGUACAUAUCGCC